GGGCCUGUAGCUCAGAGGAUUAGAGCA
This 27-nucleotide non-coding RNA is filed under the name Pereskia aculeata. Lineage: Eukaryota; Viridiplantae; Streptophyta; Magnoliopsida; Caryophyllales; Cactaceae. RNAcentral also lists the same sequence under 3 other names. The record is from RNAcentral.